UCCCAGUAUGUGUGGCCCAGUCCUCCCAGUACAUCCCAGUGCUCCCAGUACCCCCAGUAUGUGGGGCCCAGUGCUCCCAGUAUGGCCCAGUGCUCCCAGUGACCCCAGUAUGCAGGGCCCAGUGCUCCCAGUAUGUCCCAGUGCUCCCAGUGACCCCAGUAUGUGGGGCCCAGUGCUCCCAGUACAGCCCAGUGCUCCCAGUAACCCCAGUAUGUGGGGCCCAGUGCUCCCAGUAACCCCAGUAUGUGGGGCCCAGCCCUCCCAGUAUGUCCCAGUGCUCCCAGUAUCUGUGGCUCAGUCCUCCCAGUACAUCCCAGUGCUCCCAGUACCCACCAGUAUGUGGGGCUCAGUGCUCCCAGUGACCCCAGUAUGUGUGGACCAGUGCUCCCAGUAUGGUCCAGUGCUCCCAGUAACCCCAGUAUGUGUGACCCAGCGCCUCCCAGUACACGUGGCCCAGUGCUCACCACUCCCAGUGCCCCCCAGUACACACAGCCCAGUGUUCCCAGUGCUCCCAGUACCGAGGAGCCCACUGCUCCCAGCGCCCAGCCCCCCCUCCCAGUGCCCCCCAGUACCACACUGAAUCUCUUACUGGUGCCACUGGUCUUUAUUGAGCCGCAGCGGGGGAGGGGCGGCCGU
This 636-nucleotide long non-coding RNA is filed under the name Anas platyrhynchos platyrhynchos (common mallard). Its description in RNAcentral is "lncRNA (ENSAPLG00000018255.1)". The record is from RNAcentral. Lineage: Eukaryota; Metazoa; Chordata; Aves; Anseriformes; Anatidae.